AACGAACGCUGGCGGCAUGCCUAACACAUGCAAGUCGAACGAGACCUUCGGGUCUAGUGGCGCACGGGUGCGUAACGCGUGGGAACCUGCCCUUAGGUUCGGAAUAACUCCCCGAAAGGGGUGCUAAUACCGGAUAAUGUCUUCGGACCAAAGAUUUAUCGCCUUUGGAUGGGCCCGCGUUGGAUUAGCUAGUUGGUAGGGUAAAAGCCUACCAAGGCGACGAUCCAUAGCUGGUCUGAGAGGAUGAUCAGCCACACCGGGACUGAGACACGGCCCAGACUCCUACGGGAGGCAGCAGUGGGGAAUAUUGGACAAUGGGCGAAAGCCUGAUCCAGCAAUGCCGCGUGAGUGAUGAAGGCCGUAGGGUUGUAAAGCUCUUUUACCCGGGAUGAUAAUGACAGUACCGGGAGAAUAAGCUCCGGCUAACUCCGUG
This 433-nucleotide ribosomal RNA is filed under the name uncultured bacterium. Its description in RNAcentral is "partial 16S ribosomal RNA". It matches the Rfam family "Bacterial small subunit ribosomal RNA", at positions 29 to 507 of the family's 1533-position model. The record is from RNAcentral.